RNAcentral lists this transfer RNA (73 nucleotides) under Quinella sp. 2Q5. Its description in RNAcentral is "tRNA-Ala". It matches the Rfam family "tRNA". From Rfam's summary of the family: Transfer RNA (tRNA) molecules are approximately 80 nucleotides in length. Their secondary structure includes four short double-helical elements and three loops (D, anti-codon, and T loops). Further hydrogen bonds mediate the characteristic L-shaped molecular structure. tRNAs have two regions of fundamental functional importance: the anti-codon, which is responsible for specific mRNA codon recognition, and the 3' end, to which the tRNAs corresponding amino acid is attached (by aminoacyl-tRNA synthetases). tRNAs cope with the degeneracy of the genetic code in two manners: having more than one tRNA (with a specific anti-codon) for a particular amino acid; and 'wobble' base-pairing, i.e. permitting non-standard base-pairing at the 3rd anti-codon position. The record is from RNAcentral. Lineage: Bacteria; Bacillati; Bacillota; Negativicutes; Veillonellales; Veillonellaceae.
GGGAUAGUAGCUCAGAUGGUAGAGCGCUUGCUUAGCAUGCAAGAGGCAGCGGGAUCGAUGCCCGCCUGUUCCA